AGAGUUUGAUCCUGGCUCAGGAUGCCCUUUGGCGGCGUGCUUAACACAUGCAAGUCGAACGAAGCGCCUGACUAUGAGACUUCGGUUGAAUAAGAGGGAUGACUUAGUGGCGGACGGGUGAGUAACGCGUGGGUAACCUGCCUCAUGCAGGGGGACAACAGUUGGAAACGACUGCUAAUACCGCAUAUGACCACAGCAUCGCAUGAUGCAGCGGUGAAAGAUUUAUCGGCAUGAGAUGGACCCGCGUCUGAUUAACUGGUUGGUGAGGUAACGGCCCACCAAGGUUGCGAUCAGUAGCCGACCUGAGAGGGUGAUCGGCCACAUUGGGACUGAGACACGGCCCAAACUCCUACGGGAGGCAGCAGUGGGGAAUAUUGGACAAUGGGGGGAACCCUGAUCCAGCGACGCCGCGUGAGUGAAGAAGUAUUUCGGUAUGUAAAGCUCUUUAAGCAGGGAAGAAAAUGACGGUACCUGCAGAAUAAGCCCCGGCUAACUACGUGCCAGCAGCCGCGGUAAUACGUAGGGGGCAAGCGUUAUCCGGAUUUACUGGGUGUAAAGGGAGCGUAGACGGCGAUGUAAGUCUGAAGUGAAAGCCCGUGGCUCAACUGCGGGACUGCUUUGGAAACUACAUGGCUAGAGUGUCGGAGAGGUGAGUGGAAUUCCCAGUGUAGCGGUGAAAUGCGUAGAUAUUGGGAGGAACACCAGAGGCGAAGGCGGCUCACUGGACGAUUACUGACGUUGAGGCUCGAAAGCGUGGGGAGCAAACAGGAUUAGAUACCCUGGUAGUCCACGCCCUAAACGA
This 802-nucleotide ribosomal RNA is filed under the name uncultured bacterium. RNAcentral's name for it is "bacterial SSU rRNA". It matches the Rfam family "Bacterial small subunit ribosomal RNA", at positions 8 to 809 of the family's 1533-position model. The record is from RNAcentral.